AUUGAACGCUGGCGGCAGGCCUAACACAUGCAAGUCGAGCGGAGCGGCGGACGGGUGAGUAAUGCCUAGGAAUCUGCCUGGUAGUGGGGGAUAACGUCCGGAAACGGGCGCUAAUACCGCAUACUAUCAGAUGAGCCUAGGUCGGAUUAGCUAGUUGGGGGGGUAAAGGCCUAACACGGCGACGAUCCGUAACUGGUCUGAGAGGAUGCUCAGUAACACUGGAACUGAGACACGGUCCAGACUCCUACGUGAGGCAUCGGUGGGGAGUUUUGUACAAUGGGCGAAAGCCUGAUCCAGCCAUGCGGCGUGUGUGAGUGAGGUCUUCGGAUUGUAAGGCACUUUAAGUUGGGAGGCGUUACCAACAGAAUAAGCACCGGCUAACUUCGUGCCAGCCGCCGCGGUAAUAC
Molecule: ribosomal RNA, 407 nt
Filed under: uncultured bacterium
Lineage: Bacteria
Description: partial 16S ribosomal RNA
Rfam family: Bacterial small subunit ribosomal RNA
Source: RNAcentral